Molecule: ribosomal RNA, 300 nt
Filed under: uncultured Aminobacter sp.
Lineage: Bacteria; Pseudomonadati; Pseudomonadota; Alphaproteobacteria; Hyphomicrobiales; Phyllobacteriaceae
Description: bacterial SSU rRNA
Rfam family: Bacterial small subunit ribosomal RNA
Source: RNAcentral
GCUAACUUCGUGCCAGCAGCCGCGGUAAUACGAAGGGGGCUAGCGUUGUUCGGAAUUACUGGGCGUAAAGCGCACGUAGGCGGAUUGGUCAGUUAGGGGUGAAAUCCCGGGGCUCAACCCCGGAACUGCCUUUAAUACUGCCAAUCUAGAGUCCGAGAGAGGUGAGUGGAAUUCCGAGUGUAGAGGUGAAAUUCGUAGAUAUUCGGAGGAACACCAGUGGCGAAGGCGGCUCACUGGCUCGGUACUGACGCUGAGGUGCGAAAGCGUGGGGAGCAAACAGGAUUAGAUACCCGUGUAGUC